Molecule: ribosomal RNA, 855 nt
Filed under: Lasiodiplodia sp. ZPD-2018b
Lineage: Eukaryota; Fungi; Ascomycota; Dothideomycetes; Botryosphaeriales; Botryosphaeriaceae
Description: partial 28S ribosomal RNA
Rfam family: Eukaryotic large subunit ribosomal RNA
Source: RNAcentral
AGGGAUUGCCUUAGUAACGGCGAGUGAAGCGGCAACAGCUCAAAUUUGAAAGCUGGCCCUUUUAGGGUCCGCGUUGUAAUUUGUAGAGGAUGAUUCGGCGAGGGCUCCUGCCUAAGUCCCCUGGAACGGGGCGUCAUAGAGGGUGAGAAUCCCGUAUGCGGUAGGUUGCCUUAGCCAUGUGAAUCUCCUUCGACGAGUCGAGUUUUUUGGGAAUGAAGCUCUAAAUGGGAGGUAAAUUUCUUCUAAAGCUAAAUAUUGGCCAGAGACCGAUAGCGCACAAGUAGAGUGAUCGAAAGAUGAAAAGCACUUUGGAAAGAGAGUUAAAAAGUACGUGAAAUUGUUGAAAGGGAAGCGCUUGCAACCAGACUUGUCCGCAGUUGCUCAGCCGGUCUCCUGACCGGCGUACUCUUCUGCGGCCAGGCCAGCAUCAGUUCGGGCGGUCGGAUAAAGGCCUCGGGAAUGUAGCUCCUCUCGGGGAGUGUUAUAGCCCGGGGCGGAAUGCGGCCAGCCUGGACUGAGGAUCUCGCUUCGGCAAGGAUGCUGGCGUAAUGGUUGUAAGCGGCCCGUCUUGAAACACGGACCAAGGAGUCUAACAUCUAUGCGAGUGUUCGGGUGUCAAACCCGUACGCGUAAUGAAAGUGAACGGAGGUGGGAACCCGCAAGGGUGCACCAUCGGCCGAUCCUGAUGUCUUCGGAUGGAUUUGAGCAAGAGCAUAGCUGUUGGGACCCGAAAGAUGGUGAACUAUGCCUGAAUAGGGUGAAGCCAGAGGAAACUCUGGUGGAGGCUCGCAGCGGUUCUGACGUGCAAAUCGAUCGUCAAAUUUGGGUAUAGGGGCGAAAGACUAAUCGAACCAU